UCAAUUUUGAGCACCACAGAGAGUACUGAGGAAGUUCUAAGCAAAGUGUAAAGUGAUGCACAUUCUUACAUAUUAGCAUAUGCAGAUCAUACAGAAACUACUAUAUAUAUAUUUGUAACUUGGUUUUUAUUCUUGUAUCUUAUCUGUUUACAGGCUAAGAGUUCUACAGUGCUACAGUUCAUACCCUGGACGUCACUCAUACACAUCCUUUGCUUUACCACUCAGAGAUUUCCCUGACAUUUUUUCUUGCUCAAAGGUGGAACUCAAAAAAAAAAAAAAAAAAAAAAAGGCAAGAAAAAGAAACCACAGAGCAAACCUUGGACUGGCUGAGAUGUGUAAUAACAAAACAAAGGACUCUGGAAAAGGAGAGAGGGCACCAGGACACAGUGAGAGAGAUGAGUUGGUGGUCGGAGUCGUGUGCAAAAACCUAUCCUUGGGAGGUAAGAAACUUGGACUCAUGUAUCAACUAUUGCCCUGUAAACCAUUAUUUCCUUAAAAAAAAGUUGUUUGGGAGGAAUAAAAGAGGUAUAAAGUGUUUUCUUCUUCUUAACAUGUCCCUCUCAAACACACCCAAGUUUAUAAUUCUCUUUUAGAAAAAGGUACCUAAGGAGGAGGAGGAGGGUGUGGGGGCUGGAACACCGGGUUAAGCCCACACAUCACCAUGGGUAAGGACGCAUAGACCCGGAUGUGAGCCCUCGCUCUUCAUCUGCAAGAACGCUUCCUGAGCGGUAAAACAGGUCCGUAGGUGUCUAUGUUUCUCUCCUUCCCUCUAUCUCCCCUCUCUUCUCAGUUUCUAUCUGUCUUGCCAAGUGAAAAUAGGAAAAAAAAAAAAAAAAAAAAAAGGGCUGCCGGGAGUGGUAGAUUCGUAGUACAGGCAGCAAACCCCAGCGAUAACCCUGGUGGGGAAAAAAAAAAAAAAAAAGAUUUAGUCUAUGCUUACUCUAAUGAAGAAGCCAUCAUAAAAAUUCAGAAGUACUGAGUUCAGAGAGCUUUUGGAUUGCUGAAAAUGUGGAGGCACUGGGAGGUUGGUGUAGCUGGAAAGCACAUGGAAGCUCUGUGUCCGUUCUCCAGUACUUUGUUCUAUGCAAUGGCUUCCAUCUGGCUGCGCCUUCGCUGUGUAUCUCUUCAUGAUGAACUGGUAAUUUAUUAAGGAAACUAUUUUCCUAAAUUCUGUGGGUCAUUCUAGCAAAUAAUCGAGCUAAGGGAGAGGGCUGUAGGAACCAUCAGUUUACAACCAACAGGUUAGAAACCCAGUACUUGCAAUUGACAUCUAAAACUUUGGAAAAUCUUGAGGCAAUAACCUGUGGAAUCUUUUUUGUGCAAUGUAAUGUGUGCAUUUAACCAUGUGCAUCAUCACCUGGCCCCUAACCUGUGGAAUCUUAUGCUAUCUCAGAUAGGUAGGUUUUUUGUUUGUUUGUUUUUUAAACUGAAUUAAAUUGUAAAAUAUAAGUAGAGAAUUGGAAGAUUUCUUGGAGUGGGGAAAAGCAUACAUUUGGUAACUAGAAGUAAGUAAAGUGUGAGUGUUAUGUGUAGUGAAAUAUAAUUUUAUAUACAUAUGGCAUAUUACAGUAUGUAAAGUUAUUCGUUAGAUGCUCAACCUAGAGCCUCUGAGUUUGAAAAUGUUUUUCUAGUAUACCUUUUUUAAGCAGAGGAGUCUGUCUUCCUAUCAUUCCUCCUUUCUCUGUGGAAGCUGGGAUUCUCUUACCUGAAAAGUUGUAUAGCCAAACUGUCAGUCACCAACUUCUAGAUACAAAAUACUCGUUGCGCUAAGGGCUAGGUAGAAAUAAAAAUCUAGUUUCCAAA
Molecule: long non-coding RNA, 1803 nt
Organism: Erinaceus europaeus (western European hedgehog)
Lineage: Eukaryota; Metazoa; Chordata; Mammalia; Eulipotyphla; Erinaceidae
Exons: 2
Source: RefSeq, a predicted model, not a curated record